This is a long non-coding RNA of Galleria mellonella (greater wax moth), 501 nucleotides long. RefSeq lists it as uncharacterized. The record is from RefSeq and is a predicted model, not a curated record. NCBI's taxonomy places the organism in Eukaryota, Metazoa, Arthropoda, Insecta, Lepidoptera, Pyralidae. The transcript has 3 exons.
UAUUACUGGCCAUCGUACUCUUUCUUUUAUAUUUUUAUACUGAUUUUCUAUUGUCUUAUGUUUUUACAAUUCUGUGAUGAAAGAGAACUACAAUAUUAAGCUUUUUUAUUAUCAUCACGUUUCUCUUAAAUAGCUUUUUUCUUGAGUAAGAUUAGAUUAAGUUCAUUCAAAGGUACGACACGACCAUGAGCAAUUAUAUAGUAUAGAUAGUGACUACCGUGAUGUUUUUAGGUAGGUAGAUAUCUAUUCUAUUAAAAUAAGGUGUAUAUAUACAUAUAAUAUUAUUGGACAGCGAUAAAUGUUUAAAAUGAGUGUGCUGAACUGUAGAUGUGUCUACAUGAAAUAUUGAUCUACUAUAAUAUGCUACCUAAGAAGACACGUUUUGGGCUAAGACCUGAUAACAAAGGAACAGUGGCUACUGAAAAUAAAUGGAAUGGAAGGGAGGUAAACGAGCAUGCGGCUCACCUGAUGGUCCCUUUUGGAGUAGCAAAGAGAAGCGGG